CGAGUCGCCUCCGCACGCCCAAGGCGGGCCUCGGCGUGCGGCCCCACCGCGGUCGGCCGCGCGCCUGUUGACCCGCCAGGCCUGGUCUGAACCGGCGUGCCCGGCGCUGUCUGACCUGAGACCGCACGGUGGAGCCCCGGGUUGGGGCUCAGUGUGGACCCCGCCUCCGAGACCCGAACGCGAGACUUGCCCCCCCAGCCUUGGGCUUGGUGAAAGUUUUAGCCAAACAAAGGGGAACAAAAGGCAUCGUAGUUGGAUAACAUUCACAUUUGAAACAAAUAGCCAUGGUUUACCCAGAAUCAUGCAAAUUCUUGAUAGACUAGCUUUAACUCCUUUCAGCUCCACUCAAAAAAAAAAAAGAAUGCAAAGUAAAAGAAGAUACUAUUGGAAAACAAGUAAUUUAUUUCAACCCUGACCUGGAAUGACAGAGAUGUGGCUUGAGGAGAAAGAUAUGUUCCAGAUAAAAUCUCAGAAUUAGAAAAUUUAUAGAGCAGACCUGAGACUGACCCUCACCGUGGACAGCACUGCAGCAAGCUGACCUGCAGCUACUGAUGUGAAACAAGAAUAAAACAAAAAUAUUUGUUGUGAAUCAGAGAUUUUUAAGAUUGUUAAAUAGCAUAAUUUUUCAAAUCAUCUAAAGAGAAUUUGAGCCAACAAAUUAGUGGUUCAAAGGCUAAAUGUACUAUGGAACAAUAAUA
This is a long non-coding RNA of Lemur catta (Ring-tailed lemur), 698 nucleotides long. RefSeq lists it as uncharacterized. NCBI's taxonomy places the organism in Eukaryota, Metazoa, Chordata, Mammalia, Primates, Lemuridae. The transcript has 4 exons. The record is from RefSeq and is a predicted model, not a curated record.